Podarcis muralis (Common wall lizard) is the source of this 349-nucleotide non-coding RNA. NCBI's taxonomy places the organism in Eukaryota, Metazoa, Chordata, Lepidosauria, Squamata, Lacertidae. The record is from RefSeq and is a predicted model, not a curated record.
AGGAAUCUCCUCAGAAAGAGCAACCUGCCACUUCCCUGACCAAUCUUGGAAUUUAAUAUGGAUUUCUGCAACUGUCGUCUCUUGGCAACCUUCGGGGCUCCAUUUGGCUUAAAAGACGGCAUUCGGCUUUGCCACCACAAUUCAUCCUGAGCCAUGAAGAUCCUUCACCUGUGCUUGGCAGUUCUCUCUUUGCUGCUCCUCACUUCCCCAGGAUCAGCAGAUGAGGGACCUACCAAUGCUGCUGAAUGCGGUCAAGCCAAAGGUCUUUGCUACCGUAAACGUUGUCCCAAUAAUUAUGAAAGAAUUGGAAGGUGCUACUUUAUGCCUUACUGUUGCAGAAGGUAAUUUC